Molecule: ribosomal RNA, 483 nt
Filed under: uncultured bacterium
Lineage: Bacteria
Description: partial 16S ribosomal RNA
Rfam family: Bacterial small subunit ribosomal RNA
Source: RNAcentral
AUUGAACGCUGGCGGCAGGCCUAACACAUGCAAGUCGAGCGGAUGAAGGGAGCUUGCUCCUGGAUUCAGCGGCGGACGGGUGAGUAAUGCCUAGGAAUCUGCCUGGUAGUGGGGGAUAACGUCCGGAAACGGGCGCUAAUACCGCAUACGUCCUGAGGGAGAAAGUGGGGGAUCUUCGGACCUCACGCUAUCAGAUGAGCCUAGGUCGGAUUAGCUAGUUGGUGGGGUAAAGGCCUACCAAGGCGACGAUCCGUAACUGGUCUGAGAGGAUGAUCAGUCACACUGGAACUGAGACACGGUCCAGACUCCUACGGGAGGCAGCAGUGGGGAAUAUUGGACAAUGGGCGAAAGCCUGAUCCAGCCAUGCCGCGUGUGUGAAGAAGGUCUUCGGAUGGUAAAGCACUUUAAGUUGGGAGGAAGGGCAGUAAGUUAAUACCUGGCUGUUUUGACGUGACCAACAGAAUAAGCACCGGCUAACUUCGU